This is a long non-coding RNA of Sycon ciliatum, 1269 nucleotides long. RefSeq lists it as uncharacterized. Lineage: Eukaryota; Metazoa; Porifera; Calcarea; Leucosolenida; Sycettidae. The record is from RefSeq and is a predicted model, not a curated record. The transcript has 3 exons.
GGGGUAGGGGCAACAGUCCAGCUGCUUCCAGUGCAGCUGUUGCAGUCUCCGGUGGCGUCGUCGGCGUCGGGCAGCCCGGUGAACGGAAUCUCCGGACUCGUAGUAUGUGCCAAGAACCUACAGUAUGUUCAACUGGGUGCACACAAGCCGCCGGACGCACAGGCUUUACAGGGCAACAACUCACAGUGUGAAUAUGCGGAGGGACUGGGCCGCACUCGUCAAGAACAAGGAAACAGUCUGCCAUGCACAUACCUCUCAUCUCCCUUGCUUGCUAGUACCGCGCCACUGAAUGGCCACACACAGUACAGUCAUGCCGUGUGUGACCCUUCCUGCACACAAGCAGCCAAACAAGCAGCCGAACAAGCAGCCAGCCGAACUGACAGAAAGACUACUGUCCAAGGCGACUCGGUGAAUGGGUCAAUGGAGGGUCAAUAUUGCAUGGAGCAACACUCUGCUGUCCACCACCAAGAGAACCAUGCCAGCAGGAAUAAUGGCUUGAGCAGGGAGGAGGAUAAAGGGACUUGCUCCUAUCAAGAUGAGAACAUUGAUGCCACUUCCGGGACAUCUACACCGCCGUCUCGCGCAUACUGGAACAGUCAAGUGUGAGUCGUGUGGAAAUGCCAACAAUCGCAGCCGUGCUCCGGGUGCUGGUGUCGCGGUGUGUGUGUGUGUGUGUGUGUGUGUGUGUGUGUGCUUGUUUGUGCUUGUGUGUGUGUGUGUGUGUGUGUGUGUGUGUGUGUGUGUGUGUGCUUGUGUGUGUGUGUGUGUGUGUGUGUGUGUGUGUAUGCGUGUGUGUAUGUGUGUGUAUAUGUGUACGUGUACGUUUCUUGAUUGGACAGUGAACAUAGAGUUAUUGAAGUGCACGCCAAUUCCUCACCAAUGUUAGAUAUGGCAUUCUUGAUUUUGGAUUUCAAUUAGCCAUGAGUGCGUUGGGAGUUUAUUCUACGUCCUGUGCGAAUUUCGGGCUGAACCAUUCUACGUUUGAACUUUGUUUUUGAAGCACUGAAUACCUCGGAGCAAUCACCCCAGUCUUUGUGCAGAGCUACCAAUCGUCACGGGAUCUCAUAGUACACUGUUUGGUAUGUGCAUGUGUACAUGUACACCGCAGCAUAACUAUAAUUAUACUGUGCAUGUACACUUGUAGUCCUGGUAAGCACCCCAGUCUCCUCUCCCUGCUGGCGGCAUGACAUGUACAGCCCAUUAUUCUUAUCGGUAUCUUUCAGAUAUUCCAUCUACGAGAAAUGUUUAAAUGCGUUCCUGAAUAUUCGU